Molecule: long non-coding RNA, 278 nt
Organism: Gekko japonicus
Lineage: Eukaryota; Metazoa; Chordata; Lepidosauria; Squamata; Gekkonidae
Exons: 3
Source: RefSeq, a predicted model, not a curated record
GAAGGCUUGCUGGGCUGGCCCGGAGCAGCUGCUAGGCCUGCCGGACACGCCUUGGGCGCGAUGGACUUGGUGGCAGGGAUGGAAGUCGGGGCCGAAAUCGAAGUGACCGAAGACGGGACCUUGGAGGAAUUGCCUCUGCAUUUGGAAAACGCCAAGAACUGCCUCUCCUGGGAAUCCCUGGAUAUGUCGAGCAGCGACGACGACGGGGAGGCGUACUUGACCUUCUGCCUGCCGGUGAGGCGCCCUCCCCGGCCCGUGCCGCGGCUCCCGGCCCAGCG